This 407-nucleotide ribosomal RNA is filed under the name uncultured bacterium. Its description in RNAcentral is "partial 16S ribosomal RNA". It matches the Rfam family "Bacterial small subunit ribosomal RNA", at positions 28 to 526 of the family's 1533-position model. The record is from RNAcentral.
GACGAACGCUGGCGGCGUGCCUAAUACAUGCAAGUAGGACGCAGUUGCGAACGGGUGAGUAACGCGUAGGUAACUACCUAUUAGAGGGGGAUAACUAUUGGAAACGAUAGCUAAUACCGCAUACUAGUAGAUGGACCUGCGUUGUAUUAGCUAGUAGGUAGGGUAAUGGCCUACCUAGGCAACGAUACAUAGCGGACCGGAGAGGAUGAUCGGCCACACUGGGACUGAGACACGGCCCAGACUCCUACGGGAGGCAGCAGUAGGGAAUCUUCGGCAAUGGGCGCAACCCUGACAGAGCAACGCCGCGUGAGUGAAGAAGGUCUUCGGAUUGUAAAACUCUGUUAUUAGGGAGGCGGUACCUAAUCAGGAAGCCACGGCUAACUACGUGCCAGCAGCCGCGGUAAUUC